GAAAAAUCCAACGUUUUCCAGUGUGCGGAACCGUAUAAUAGAAAUUUAAAUUUUAUUUUCGAACCCCUACAGCUUCAAUAUUUCAGAUCUAAAGAUGUUGUCCGCAUAUAACCGGUGUGCCGUCGUUUUUAACGAUAUUAUUUUUUUCAAACUAUUGCUUGGAAAAAUUUUUAUUGGCAAUAUAAUAUAUAGAAAAAUAUUUCAAAUUUAUACACCACCGAGCGGAAAAUCCUCGUUUUUCGGUGUGAAAGUUUUCGAACACAUUUUUACUAACCGAAAAAAAGUGUUUUCCGAGAGACAAAAAACUGCACAUCUCGGUCAAGCUAAUAGCUUUUUCGCUCAACACUCGUAUAUAUAAUGUAUAUAUAAUAUAUAUAUAUACAUUUUUUUUUGCAAACGUGUCUUUUUCUAAACGUGACGUUUUUAUAAAUUUCUCAUAACCCUCACGAUUUCAUAUUUUCUUUUCUUUUUUUUUUGUAUUUUUACUAUAUACGCAGCACUAACCGACUAUAAUAUCUA
Non-coding RNA from Cinara cedri, 519 nucleotides. The record is from the annotation of a GenBank genome assembly. NCBI's taxonomy places the organism in Eukaryota, Metazoa, Arthropoda, Insecta, Hemiptera, Aphididae.